GACGAACGCUGGCGGCGUGCCUAAUACAUGCAAGUCGAGCGGACCGAAGGGAGCUUGCUCCUUUAGGUUAGCGGCGGACGGGUGAGUAACACGUGGGCAACCUACCCUGCAGACUGGGAUAACUUCGGGAAACCGGAGCUAAUACCGGAUAACACCGAAAACCGCAUGGUUUUCGGUUGAAAGGCGGCUUUUAGCUGUCACUGCAGGAUGGGCCCGCGGAGCAUUAGCUAGUUGGCGAGGUAACGGCUCACCAAGGCGACGAUGCGUAGCCGACCUGAGAGGGUGACCGGCCACACUGGGACUGAGACACGGCCCAGACUCCUACGGGAGGCAGCAGUAGGGAAUCUUCCGCAAUGGACGAAAGUCUGACGGAGCAACGCCGCGUGAGCGAAGAAGGUCUUCGGAUCGUAAAGCUCUGUUGUCAGGGAAGAACAAGUACCGUUCGAACAGGGCGGUACCUUGACGGUACCUGACGAGGAAGCCACGGCUAACUACGUGCCAGCAGCCGCCGUAA
This 514-nucleotide ribosomal RNA is filed under the name uncultured bacterium. RNAcentral's name for it is "partial 16S ribosomal RNA". It matches the Rfam family "Bacterial small subunit ribosomal RNA", at positions 28 to 523 of the family's 1533-position model. The record is from RNAcentral.